Molecule: ribosomal RNA, 501 nt
Filed under: uncultured bacterium
Lineage: Bacteria
Description: partial 16S ribosomal RNA
Rfam family: Bacterial small subunit ribosomal RNA
Source: RNAcentral
AUUGAACGCUGGCGGCAGGCUUAACACAUGCAAGUCGAGCGGAGAUGAGGUGCUUGCACCUUAUCUUAGCGGCGGACGGGUGAGUAAUGCUUAGGAAUCUGCCUAUUAGUGGGGGACAACAUUCCGAAAGGAAUGCUAAUACCGCAUACGUCCUACGGGAGAGAGCAGGGGAUCUUCGGACCUUGCGCUAAUAGAUGAGCCUAAGUCGGAUUAGCUAGUUGGGGGGGGAAAGGCCUACCAAGGCGACGAUCUGUAGCGGGUCUGAGAGGAUGAUCCGCCACACUGGGACUGGGACACGGCCCAGACUCCUACGGGAGGCAGCAGUGGGGAAUAUUGGACAAUGGGGGAAACCCUGAUCCAGCCAUGCCGCGUGUGUGAAGAAGGCCUUAUGGUUGUAAAGCACUUUAAGCGAGGAGGAGGCUACUGAGACUAAUACUCUUGGAUAGUGGACGUUACUCGCAGAAUAAGCACCGGCUAACUCUGUGCCAGCCGCCGCAGUAA